Molecule: ribosomal RNA, 292 nt
Filed under: uncultured prokaryote
Description: partial 16S ribosomal RNA
Rfam family: Bacterial small subunit ribosomal RNA
Source: RNAcentral
GUGCCAGCAGCCGCGGUAAUACGUAGGGGGCGAGCGUUGUCCGAAGUCACUGGGCGUAAAGCGCGCGUAGGCGGUCUUUUAAGUUGGAUGUGAAAUCCUGCGGCCCAACCGCAGAACUGCAUCCAAAACUGGGAGACUUGAGGAUGGAAGAGGGCAGUGGAAUUCCUGGUGUAGCGGUGAAAUGCGUAGAUAUCAGGAGGAACACCCGUGGCGAAGGCGGCUGCCUGGUCCAUAUCUGACGCUGAGGUGCGAAAGCCAGGGGAGCGAACGGGAUUAGAUACCCCGGUAGUCC